UUCACUGGUCAGACGGGUCUGUCCUCUAGUGUCCCUCGAGACAGGGCUUCACUGGCCAGGUGGGUCUGUCCUCUAGUGUCCCCCCUAGACAGGGCUUCACUGGUCAGAUGGGUCUGUCCUCUAGUGUCCCUCGAGACAGGGCUUCACUGGCCAGGUGGGCCUGUCCUCUAGUGUCCCCCCUAGACAGGGCUUCACUGGUCAGACGGGUCUGUCCUCUAGUGUCCCUCGAGACAGGGCUU
This is a long non-coding RNA of Oncorhynchus keta (chum salmon), 239 nucleotides long. RefSeq lists it as uncharacterized. The transcript is spliced from 3 exons. NCBI's taxonomy places the organism in Eukaryota, Metazoa, Chordata, Actinopteri, Salmoniformes, Salmonidae. The record is from RefSeq and is a predicted model, not a curated record.